ACGGCGAGUGAAGCGGCAAGAGCUCAAAUUUGAAAUCUGGCCCCUUUGGGGUCCGAGUUGUAAUUUGCAGAGGAUGCUUCGGGUGCGGUCCCCGUCUAAGUGCCCUGGAACGGGCCGUCAUAGAGGGUGAGAAUCCCGUCUGGGAUGGGCGGCCGCGCCCGUGUGAAGCUCCUUCGACGAGUCGAGUUGUUUGGGAAUGCAGCUCUAAGCGGGUGGUAAAUUUCAUCUAAAGCUAAAUACUGGCCGGAGACCGAUAGCGCACAAGUAGAGUGAUCGAAAGAUGAAAAGCACUUUGAAAAGAGAGUUAAACAGCACGUGAAAUUGUUGAAAGGGAAGCGUUGUCCACCAGACUCGCCCGGGGGGGCUCAGCCGGCACACGUGCCGGUGUACUCCUCUCCGGGCGGGCCAGCAUCGGUUUGGGCGGCUGGUGAAAGGCCCCGGGAAUGUAACACCCUUCGGGGUGCCUUAUAGCCCGGGGUGCCAUACAGCCAGCCUGGACCGAGGCCCGCGCUUCGGCGAGGAUGCUGGCGUAAUGGUGGUCAACGGCCCGUCUGAAAACACGGACACACCCUGACCCCUGCUUCCUCGCCGAAGCGCGAGCCUCGGUCCGGCCGGCUGUAUGCACUCGGGCUAU
This 634-nucleotide ribosomal RNA is filed under the name Talaromyces marneffei. RNAcentral's name for it is "LSU rRNA". The stretch from base 1 to 563 matches the Rfam family "Eukaryotic large subunit ribosomal RNA", at positions 86 to 664 of the family's 3401-position model. Lineage: Eukaryota; Fungi; Ascomycota; Eurotiomycetes; Eurotiales; Trichocomaceae. The record is from RNAcentral.